Molecule: long non-coding RNA, 531 nt
Organism: Belonocnema kinseyi
Lineage: Eukaryota; Metazoa; Arthropoda; Insecta; Hymenoptera; Cynipidae
Exons: 2
Source: RefSeq, a predicted model, not a curated record
CUGAUACAAACUUUCUAGUUUCUUUUUGAACUCAGUGAAGUUGUGAAAUUAUUAUUGUUCGUUGUUCUGACCUUAUUUCACCCAUAUUUUAAUAAUGGCAUCAGUUCCUAAAAAAGAGCAGAUGACAAAAUCCGCCCAGAAUUAUUAUCUUGUUCCGAAAAAUGUUGUAAAAGCGACCGUUUUUUAUGUAACGACUGAAGAUACCUUAGAGAAUCAAAAAUGCCUUGAUGCGAGGUGAAAUAAUGUUUUAAAAGUGCAAAUGACGCUCAAAGAAUGCAAGACUGUCUUAGGCUUCAGCGCAUUCCAUCAUUUCAAAAAAUUUGACAAUGAUCAUAUUGUUGUUGGGCAAACUUCGAAGUCUACGCUGCAUGAACUCACUAUUAUCCCUUGCGGACCCGAAGUAUAUUUGAAGCACCUUACAACACAUAUACGUUUAAAAUACAGCGAUGUAUACUCCGAAAGUGAUUUUGAAGAUUAAAUAAAAAAGUAGUGUGAUAUUAGUAUUAAUUUUAUAAAUAUAGAUGUGGACAA